This is a non-coding RNA of Paramisgurnus dabryanus, 563 nucleotides long. NCBI's taxonomy places the organism in Eukaryota, Metazoa, Chordata, Actinopteri, Cypriniformes, Cobitidae. The record is from RefSeq and is a predicted model, not a curated record.
UGGGUUCGGCGUGUGUUUGAAAGGUUACGCCCCUGACUACGCGUGGGUUUUCCGGUUCUGACUGAGAGUCACAGCCUCAGAGGCAACGUAAACAAGCGCUAUAUUUCUCUAUAAACGAUGGUGUCUGUACUGCCUUACCACUUCAAGCUCGAUCCAGAGAGUUCAGACGGCCGUUACGAUAUAAACGAUCUCCGUCAAUGAACGCGAUUGGAUUUAACUUUUUUAGGUGUCCUUAGCUCUGCCAGAAUGCUAAACGAAGACGAAAAUGUGUUGCAAAGACAUCCAAAAGGUUUUAAGGAGAAUGCAACAUGUUCCAGGGCCUCUUACCUGCGUGAUUCAUCAUCCAGGUUUUGCACAAAUUGUCUAAAUCCCUACACACAGAACAUUUAUUGUACCGACUAUAAGCCUUUGAGGUGCAGGACUAGACUAUCUAUUCAGAUAAAUGGCAUAUCAAAGCUUUGUCAGCUGGUGCUAUUUAAGACGACACUAUAAGGUUAUCAUCCUGUCGUGUGUUGUUCUCCAGAUACGCUUGGAGCUUCCUGAUCAGAUCGGUCACAAUUUUG